UACGUAGGAGGCAAGCGUUGUCCGGAAUUACUGGGCGUAAAGAGCGUGUAGGCGGUUAGGUAGGUCCGUUGUGAAAACUCGAGCUCAACCUCGAGACGCCGAUGGAAACCCUCCAGCUAGAGUCCGGAAGAGGAGAGUGGAAUUCCUGGUGUAGCGGUGAAAUGCGCAGAUAUCAGGAAGAACACCCGUGGCUAAGGCGGCUCUCUAGUACGGUACUGACGCUGAGACGCGAAAGCGUGGGGAGCGAACAGG
This 252-nucleotide ribosomal RNA is filed under the name uncultured bacterium. RNAcentral describes it as "partial 16S ribosomal RNA". It matches the Rfam family "Bacterial small subunit ribosomal RNA", at positions 524 to 776 of the family's 1533-position model. The record is from RNAcentral.